Molecule: long non-coding RNA, 7196 nt
Filed under: Olea europaea (common olive)
Lineage: Eukaryota; Viridiplantae; Streptophyta; Magnoliopsida; Lamiales; Oleaceae
Description: long non-coding RNA (OEUR_LNC001773)
Source: RNAcentral
CCAAUCCAAAGUCCCACAUUCAGGAGAACUGGAGAAUACUCGACUUCUUCUCCCAUCAUCCAGAGAGCUUGAAUAUGUUCACUUUCCUCUUUGAUGAUCUGGGUGUUCCACUGGAUUACAGACACAUGGAAGGCUCUGGCGUCAACACCUAUACUCUAAUCAACAAGGCUGGGAAAGCAUAUUAUGUGAAGUUCCACUGGAAGCCAACAUGUGGUGUGAAGUGUUUAUUGGAGGACGAUGCUAUUAAGGUUGGAGGAGCUAAUCACAGCCAUGCCACCCAGGAUCUCUACGAUUCAAUUGCAGCUGGUAACUAUCCAGAAUGGAAACUUUUUAUUCAGACAAUGGAUCCUGAUCAUGAAGAUAGAUUUGAUUUUGACCCACUUGAUGUAACCAAGACCUGGCCAGAGGACAUCUUGCCCCUGCAGCCAGUGGGUCGCUUGGUAUUAAAUAAGAACAUAGAUAACUUCUUUGCGGAGAACGAGCAGCUUGCAUUUUGCCCUAGUAUUAUUGUCCCUGGGAUUUAUUAUUCCGAUGAUAAGCUGCUCCAAACUCGUAUAUUCUCUUAUUCUGAUACUCAGAGGCACCGUCUGGGACCAAACUAUUUGCAGCUUCCAGCUAAUGCUCCCAAGUGCGCUCAUCACAACAACCAUCAUGAAGGAUUCAUGAAUUUCAUGCAUAGGGAUGAGGAGGUACUUUAAUGAUUCCAUACUACUUCAUUGGAGAUCACUUACAUUCAAUUUCUUGGUUCCUAACUAACAUCCUUGGGUAAUUUCUAAAGUGCUUUGAGAUUUAAUAUAUUGGUAUUUUCUUUUAUUAUUUAUGUGCACUUUAAGAAACAAUACUGGGGGCCUAAACACUUCAUGAAGGAUUCAUGAAUUUCAUGCAUAGGGAUGAGGAGGUACUUUAAUGAUUCCAUACUACUUCAUUGGAGAUCACUUACAUUCAAUUUCUUGGUUCCUAACUAACAUCCUUGGGUAAUUUCUAAAGUGCUUUGAGAUUUAAUAUAUUGGUAUUUUCUUUUAUUAUUUAUGUGCACUUUAAGAAACAAUACUGGGGGCCUAAACACUUAAAUUCAGUUAUUGCCAUGAGAUUUUGUAUCUUGAUGCAUGGAGACGGUUGUCUAAACAUGUAUGUUUCAUGCUCUGAUUUUAUCAUCAUGUUUUAACCAGACGUUCCAACUGUUUUCCAGGUCAAUUAUUUCCCGUCAAGAUAUGAUGCCAGUCGUCAUUCUGAGAGGUAUCCCAUUCCCACUGUUGCAUUAUCAGGGAAGCGCGACAGGGUAUGUAUUGAUUGUGUUCUUGAUUCUGUUGCUAGAAGUUUCAGUUUAUCAUGAUUCUUAACUUUGUUAAAACUUAAAGGUUUUUCUUGGUGUUUACAACUAAUUUGAGUUCAAGAAGGAAAAAGUCCAGAACACUUUUCUAGCAUAAGCAGUGAAUCCCAAUCCUAGCUUUAUAGUGCAUGUAUAGUACUAUACUUACUUCCAUGUUUGUAACUCAUUUCAUUCAAUGGAUAAUUAACCCAAACAAAGAUUCUCAAGAUCUCUAUUGGUUGUCACGGCUGUAGAAGGAGCGACCAAUGUAUUUCCUCUGGUGUAGAAGUCAAACGGUGAAAUAAAAGAACAAAAAUUAUGAAUUUUAUCUUAGUAGCAGAAGUGGAAAUAAGUGGAGGUGAGUUGGUGCUGUUGCUGGCACUGAAGGAUGUUUGUUGAUACUUUUUGGUUUAAUAAUUUUUGCAGCAUCGAUGCUCAUUCCUCCCCCUUCUCCCACUGUUUCGUCUCCCUUUGUGGGUAUUUAGUUCACAUUACAACAAGAGAAAAGUGUUAUUAGUAUAUUUUGGGAGUUUGGAGCUCACACUUUUAGUGCGUGUUUUGCAGGGAGGAUUGGAUAGCACUAGAUAAUGUUUAAGGAAGAAUAUAAAAGAUAAAAUCUUGUUUAGUAUUAGUGUGUAUCAUUACAUGAUAUGUAACACCACAGAUAUAAAGUUCAACAAGCAACCUUUAAGAUUUUAAGUUCCUGAAAUGACAUAUGAAUAUAAUCCCUCGAUAGAUAGUUUUGCAGCUGAGAAAUUCUUGUGCGAGUUGAAUGGCACUUUGUUUAUUAUUGCAGUGCAUCAUCGAAAAGGAGAACAACUUUAAGGAACCAGGAGAAAGAUACCGUUCCUGGGCACUGGACAGGUAACUAAUCUCUAGUCAUUAGUCAACUUAGAAAUUUAUAAAAUGACUAUCAUGCAAGUUGAUUUAUCUGCUUAUUCCCAUUUCUCCUUCAGGCAAGAGAGAUUCAUCUGCCGGUGGGUAGAUGCUUUAUCCGAUCUCAGGGUCACCCAUGAGAUCCGUAGUAUCUGGGUUUCAUACUGGUCUCAGGUCUGAUUACCCAUACCUUUCUCAUAUGUUCGGCACUGAGGAUUUAUAGCACUGAACAGUAUUAAAUAAGAAGCUAAAAUCUUAUUCAUUAUACUAUCCAGUCCUCUGUAUACUUUGUUACCAGUAUUUUCUAUAUUUGCUUUCAAGGUUAUGUACUCAGUUUUUGAUUUUUAUGCUGCAGGCCGAUAAGUCCCUUGGUCAAAAGCUCGCCUCACAUCUCAAUGUAAGACCAACAAUGUAGAGGCUGUGAGAAUACGGGAUGUUUUCAGUUGCUGUGGGCGGAAGAGUAAUGUAGACAGGAUAUGUUGUUCGGAAGUAUAAAGUCACUCGUACUUCUUUUAUAACUGUAUUCUUAUAUGUAAUGAAGAAACUAAUGUUGCCUUAACCACAAUAAUAUUAUAUUGAAUGUAAGAAAUGACAAUUGUACUCUCUCCACCAACUCGAUCUUUGUCUACUGGUGAUUACUGGUUAUUGUCGCACAAUCAUUUGAGAAGGAACCCGAAAAAGCACAAAUUCGGAACUAAAACUAUGUAUUUGCAAAGUUGGGUCGUGAUUGUGCAGUGAAGUUGUGGGUUUUUGCACAUAUAUGGGUUUUUCUUUUGCUAUAAUAAGAUUAAAAACUUCUGUAUGUCCCGCAGCAAGAAAGGAAAAGUGAAGGCUUCCAUUACUUGGCUUGUGAAGUCUGGUAGAUAAUGAGGUAUAUUUGAAGCUUGAAAGGGGCUUCAAAUGGUAAGUUUGAAGCAUAUAGCGUUUAUAGACUUCAUUGGUCGUCAAAUUGACAUGUUGCUGGGUAUUUUUAGUGUUUGGUAGUUGACAUAGCCAUUGAUUUAGUACGCCCUCCAUCUUAUAAAAAUAUGCUUGCUUUCCUUCUUUUAUUUAACCUUGUCCCUAUCUGAGACGAUGGAAUGAGGUAUUCCAUGGAGUCUUACCACUUCUUUGUUGAAAACUCUUGCCACACUAGCUGCCGUAAAAGGAUUCCUGAGCCCAAUGAAGUGCCCAUAUUUACUCAGUCAGUCGACCACCACUAGAAUUGUGUCCAUGUUUCCAAAUUUUGGUAAACCCUCAAUGAAAUCCAUGGCAAUAUCUUCUCAAACCUGAUUUGGUACAAUAAGUGUUUUUAAAGGCCUCUCGGUGAUAGAGCACUAUACUUGUUUUGUUGGCACAUGGAACAUCGGCUAACAUACCUGCUUAUUUCUGACUUCAUUCCCUCCUAGUACACACUUGCUGUGAUACGUUUGUAGGUUUUCAAGAAUCCAGAGUGGCCACCCAACUUGCUGCCAUGCCCCUUUUGUAACAUCAAAGGAAUUAACUUUGAUCCCUUUGGUAAUAGAAGCCUCCCCUUAAAUAAUAACUGACCAUUCACCAACUUAUAACCUGGUCUGCUGGAAGGGUCUUGGGUGAUGUCCCAAAUAGUAUCCUGUAAGUUUUGGUCUGCUCUUACUUCUUCUGCUAGAACAUCCACCUGCACUACUGUAGGGGUUAUUAUCACCAUUAAUUCAAUAGAUGAACUAACUCGGGACAAUGCAUCAGUUGCUUUAUUUUCGCUCCCGGGACGAUAUUGAAUUUCAAACUGAUACCCCAUCAAUUUUACUAACCACUUUUGAUACUCUGGAUUGACCUGUUGUUGAUCUAUUAAGAACUUCAAACUUUGUCGAUCAGUUUGAACAAAGAAUUUAUGUCCCGGCAAGUAAUGUUUCCAUUUUUGUACCGCAAAAAUGAUGGCCAUCAGUUCUCACUCCUAUGCUGAUUUUACUCUCCCCUUCGGAUUAAGAGCAUGGCUAAAAAAUGCAAUGGGAUGUUGGUUCUUCAUAAGUACUGCCCCCAACCCAGAUCUCGAGGCAUCGGUCUCUAUGAUGAAGGGUUUGCUAGUCAGGAAGGGCAAGAAUCGGCACAGUAGUCACGACGACUUUCAAUUUGCCAAAAGCUCGUUCGGCUUCAUCAUCCCAGAAAAAAUUGUCCUUACGCAGAUGCUUAGUUAAUGGCCACACCAACUUUUCAUAAUCCUUAACAAAAUUACGGUAGUACCACGUUAACUCGAAAAAUCCCCGCAACUCUCACAAGGAACCGGGGCUUGACCAAUCUAUCAUGGCUUGAAUUUUUGUCUUGUCCGCAGCUACCAUGUGGUCAGAAAUAAUGUGCCCAAGAUAUUCCACUUCUUCCUGUCCAAAGCUACAUUUUUUUCUGUUGACAUACAACUGAUGUUGGGCUAGCACUUGUAAUACGCUCCUUAAUGCCCCACAUGUUCCUCCUUAUUGCGACUGAAUACUGAGAUGUCAUCAAAGAGUACCAACAUAAAGUGGCUCAGCUUUUCUUUGAAUACUUCAUUCAUGAGCGAAUGAAAUGUGGCAAGGGCACUAAUGAGACUAAACAGCAUGACGACGAACUCAUAAUGCCCUUCAUGUGUCUUGAGGGCUGUCUUUGAAAUGUCUUCAAGUUUCAUGGUUUGGGGCGGAGUAAGACCCACCACUGAAUUCAUGGAUAAUUCCCCCAACUCACCGGUCACAAGCUUCUCUCCUUCAGUCAUUUCCUCAGUUGGCUCCUCAAUUUCACCCUCAUCUUGUCGUUCAUCGUCAAAAACUAGCAUCACCUGUAAUUCCUUGUUCUUGCACCUGUGCCCAAUGGGGUAUUUCUCAUCACAGCGGAAACAUAAUCCUCAGUUUUUAUUGGCUUUCAAUUUGGCUUCACUGAGCCUCUUAAACAACAGGUUGGCAGUACUGGUGGAAGCUGGAGCUUUGGCCGUCGACGGUUUCGUGUUGGUAUUUGGGGAAGGAUCCGAUUGAUUUCUUGUGGGUGGAAGGUACCAAUUUAAGUUGGAACUAGAUUUCUGUUUUAAUGAUCCAGAUCUAUUAGCGUGGGCUUGUAGGGCCUGAUUGUUCUCCUCAAUUUUCUGGGCCAAUUCCAUAAUUUGGUCAAGCCCCUUAGGCUGUAGCAUCCUUACUUCAGCUUUAAUUUCUGGGCUCAGCCCAUUUACGAAGUGGCCCUCUAAUAUGGCCUCCGAAAUAUCUCCAAUCGGUGCUGCCAAUGACUCGAAGGCGUUCUGAUAAGCCAUCACUGAUCCUUCUUGUCGAAGAGCCAGAAAUCGCUCUUCUGUGGUACCUUCCAGGGCUGAUCUAAAUCGAGUCCGCAACAACCCUUUGAGCUCCUCCCAAUUUCACACACCUCUCAGCUUUUGCUCCCAUUAGUACCAAGACAGAGCCCCUUCCUCGAAACACAAACCAGCAGUCUCCAAUUUCUCCACAUCUGUCAAUUGGUUCACAAUGAAAUAACGUUCAGCCCGGAAUAUACAUUCAUCUGGAUUUUUACCCAUAAACACUGGCAUCUCCAACCUCCUCCCUCUGAAUUCGGUUCUCCAGUUCUUGCCGGUCGUUCUGUCCGUUUCUCUGCCACUCAUCUCCAUGCUCAGAAAAAUCUCAGAUUGCACAUUGUAUUCUGAGUCCUUCACUCUGACUUGUCCCUUGCCUUUCCUGUCUCGUUCAGCCUCCUCCCAUUUGGUCCUCAUGAAGGUGAAUUGCUUUGAAAUAAUGGCCAUGUUCUUUUCCAUGUUCUGUACCCUUUGCAACUCAGCCUUUAUCCUAUCCAUUCCCAUUUGCAUUCCUUCCCAUUGCACCUGUAGUUUUUACUGAGUCCCUUCUAAACUUCCUACUCGAUCUGCCAGAUUUACCAUCAAGAUUGGUUUGCUCUGAUACCAAUGAUAUGAACCUGAAAUAAUUUCACUUCACCAAGCGAACUUUAAAGUAAUUGAUAGGCUGAAAUAGAACUAUAAUAUUCCUUUGCUGAACUUUGAUUACAAAUAAACAAACCUCCUAAAGGAAAACAGAUUUGGAAUGCAAGAUAACAGAAAAAAAUAACAAGGAGGGACGUUCGAGAGGUCCACUACUCUCCCAAUGACUACCAAAUUCUCCCUUCCCUGCUGCAAUUCCAUUCCCUUAUUUUAUAGGUUGUUCUGUUCCUAGACUGUUCCUCUAACCAACCAUGCAUGUGGCUUCUUCUCCUCAUACAUUUCCCAUUUUACCCUUGCGUCUUUGAUAGAUAAUCUGUAUUGCGGGUCUAACAAAUUUCUAUUCAACAGAGUUCAUUGACUAUGAGCUCUAUAUUUUCCGUGAUUAUUAGUUUCAACAUUUUUUGGUUUCGGGGAAUCACAUUGGAACAUUUUGCUGGAGACAGAAGUUGUGCAACAUGAUUAUUAUUUUUUUAACUUCUCAUACAAAAGAACUAACAAAGAGAAAUUGUAUGUUUUUUCAAGCGUAGUUGCUCAGUUUUUCAGUGUUGUAAGUUCCCUUUGUUCUUUAUUUUCCACUUUUUGUCUUCUUAAAAGGACAUUAACAUUUAGUCAAAGUUUCAUUUAUUCAAUGCUAUGUGUUAAUGUAGUAUGUGCAACUCCGUAGGAGUAAGCGGUAAAGAAUAAUUAGUGUAUUUUACAUUGUUGAUAAUGACAGCUUCUUGUGGAUGCAGGGAAACUUCGAUCUGGUGGGAAAUAACUUCCCUGUCUUUUUUGUUCGCGAUGGGAUGAAAUUCCCAGAUAUGGUUCACGCUUUGAAACCCAAUCCAAAGUCCCACAUUCAGGAGAACUGGAGAAUACUCGACUUCUUCUCCCAUCAUCCAGAGAGCUUGAAUAUGUUCACUUUCCUCUUUGAUGAUCUGGGUGUUCCACUGGAUUACAGACACAUGGAAGGCUCUGGCGUCAACACCUAUACUCUAAUCAACAAGGCUGGGAAAGCAUAUUAUGUGAAGUUCCACUGGAAGCCAACAUGUGGUGUGAAGUGUUUAUUGGAGGACGAUGCUAUUAAGGUUGGAGGAGCUAAUCACAGCCAUGCCACCCAGGAUCUCUACGAUUCAA